This 776-nucleotide ribosomal RNA is filed under the name uncultured Lactobacillales bacterium. RNAcentral describes it as "bacterial SSU rRNA". It matches the Rfam family "Bacterial small subunit ribosomal RNA", at positions 28 to 776 of the family's 1533-position model. The record is from RNAcentral. Lineage: Bacteria; Bacillati; Bacillota; Bacilli; Lactobacillales.
GACGAACGCUGGCGGCGUGCUAAUACAUGCAAGUCGAACGCUUCUUUCCUCCCGAGUGCUUGCACUCAAUUGGAAAGAGGAGUGGCGGACGGGUGAGUAACACGUGGGUAACCUACCCAUCAGAGGGGGAUAACACUUGGAAACAGGUGCUAAUACUGCAUAACAGUUUAUGCCGCAUGGCAUAAGAGUGAAAGGCGCUUUCGGGUGUCGCUGAUGGAUGGACCCGCGGUGCAUUAGCUAGUUGGUGAGGUAACGGCUCACCAAGGCCACGAUGCAUAGUCGACCUGAGAGGGUGAUCGGCCACACUGGGACUGAGACACGGCCCAGACUCCUACGGGAGGCAGCAGUAGGGAAUCUUCGGCAAUGGACGAAAGUCUGACCGAGCAACGCCGCGUGAGUGAAGAAGGUUUUCGGAUCGUAAAACUCUGUUGUUAGAGAAGAACAAGGACGUUAGUAACUGAACGUCCCCUGACGGUAUCUAACCAGAAAGCCACGGCUAACUACGUGCCAGCAGCCGCGGUAAUACGUAGGUGGCAAGCGUUGUCCGGAUUUAUUGGGCGUAAAGCGAGCGCAGGAGGUUUCUUAAGUCUGAUGUGAAAGCCCCCGGCUCAACCGGGGAGGGUCAUUGGAAACUGGGAGACUUGAGUGCAGAAGAGGAGAGUGGAAUUCCAUGUGUAGCGGUGAAAUGCGUAGAUAUAUGGAGGAACACCAGUGGCGAAGGCGGCUCUCUGGUCUGUAACUGACGCUGAGGCUCGAAAGCGUGGGGAGCAAACAGG